This is a long non-coding RNA of Zonotrichia leucophrys gambelii, 2397 nucleotides long. RefSeq lists it as uncharacterized. The transcript is spliced from 3 exons. The record is from RefSeq and is a predicted model, not a curated record. NCBI's taxonomy places the organism in Eukaryota, Metazoa, Chordata, Aves, Passeriformes, Passerellidae.
ACUGCCCCCCCACACCCAGCCACAGAGGGCUUUCUGAAACGCAGAUUUGAUAUAGUCGCGGGGCGUCUCUGAGCUACAACUGGUAUAAGCUGCAAGAAACUUCUCCUCCUUCAGGAGAAUACCCUUAAUUUCUUCACUCUCAGAGAGGUGAAGCUGUAUAGACCUGCUGGCACCGUGACCUGGCAGAGACGUGAGCUAAGCUCUCCAUGCCUGCUGAAACCUGUUAUAUCCUUGCGGACUAAGCAAGCACCUGUGAGGGGAGAAGCAGAACCACAAAGAUGCUGUGCAGCCAACCCUCCACCUGCUGCCGGCACCGAGCAGCCCCUUAACACAUCCCCGAGGCAUGUCUGAGUCCUAGGGGAUCGCUCUGACUCAAAACGUGCCGUUUUACCCUGCUUGCUGCUGGAGUUUGUGUGGCUCCACGGCGGGCAGGGAGCCCUCGAGACAGACCAGCCCUUUCCCAGCGCCUGAGAAAUCACCAUCCGUGUGUGAAAGCUGUAAACAAAAAACCCCACUUCAAUGGCACAGAUUUAAAUCUGCAUUUAUAUCAUAAGAACUAUAUGAGGGUGGAUGGAGUUUUCAGGCCAUUCGUUACCCAGGUUUGUGAUGCACCCAGCACGAGGUCAUCUCAGUCUCCUGCUGGACUCCCUUGGCACUACAGAAACAUUGGUGGCAACCCAACAAGGAUACAGCCUCAGUUCAAGGCCAUGUUACUGCUGAGCAGACAUCAGCACAGACCAUCUGGAACAACACUGGCCACUUUUGCCUCCCUGCUGCAUCAUGUUCUUCUCACAGAACAGUGUUUGAGGCAUUAACACCCAUGAAUUAUAAAACAAUACAAAAAAAAUAAUGUUCUGCAGGCUUAGCUUUGCUGCAGUGUCCCCAAUACAGAAAAGCCUCCAUUCAAGGUCUUGUAAUAAUGAGCCAGGCAGAAGGAUGGGUCACAGCUGCCAUGUUAAUGCAAAGCAAAGUGUCAUUUUCUCUUCACUAGCAGCAUUCCUAUCCUCAUUCGCAUUGCUUUUCAAUAACACUCCAUGAAAGGAUGUUGAUGUCUUGUUUAAGCAAUGAUGAAAAGUUCGGAGGUUAAUUAACAAGAAGUAGAACACAGUCACUUUACUGAGGAAAAAGUCCAAGAAAAAAAACAAACAAAAAAUUUUUAAAGCUAUAAAGUAUCAUUAGAUUGCCUUUUCCAGUGGAAAAUAGUACUAAUUUUAACACUGCUUAGACACUACAGACUGUCCUUUGGCCAGGGAGAACCACAAGUCCUCUGACCUGUAUUUUAUAAUGCUUUAAUACAUGUUUGUGCUUUCUGUCAGUCAGGAAAACACCAAAUUAUGUGGCCUACAUCAAAAGCCAGUAGUCUGUUAUAUUCACACAUACUCUGUACCCUACAGAGGCAGAUACCUACUUUAGCAAUGUCAGAACAGCUUGUCAAUUAAAUCUGGCCAUAUAUCUUCUUUCGGCUUGUGACAUGUUGAUUGACAACCUAUCGGGAGGCCUGGCCCAGACAUCUGGGGGAUUUUGCCAGCAAGGUCAGGAGAGCUUCUUCUGCAAUGCAAUUUCCAUCAUGGAGCCCUGGGGCACAUGUUAACAGAUCUCACCGGCAUUCUGUGCUGUGGGACUCUCCUGCAAACAGCACAUCUCUGGCUUUGUCUUCUUGCUCUGCUCUUCCUGCUUUACCUCCAAAAUCUUCCUCUGCUAUUUUGGAGCUAGUGUUGCAAAAUCAGGGCUUUUUCUUGCUAUAAACAAUUAAUGUAUUGGAAAUACAGUGUCCAUGAAGUUAAUGUGGCCUUUAGCAGAGCUAAGCACAGCCUAAGGACAGCUGCCAGUGCUGCCCAGCUUCCCUGCUAAUGCCCUAAUGGGAAAACCCUGCGUUUCUCAGACAAAGAUAUUUCAAUGCAUCAAAUCCAGACAAAUCAUAACCUGCCUUCUCAGCAAAGCUACAACCAAAGGAAUGUUUCACACCCUUGAUCAGUCCUCCCUGCUUGAAGCCUGAAGGAAGAACAUCAAUUAAAUCCUUACUAUGAAAACUGUUCUUGGUGGCAAAACUCAUUUUGCCUUUGCAGCUAUUCUCACAUAUGGCAGUUUCCACUAAUCUUGAAAGUUAAGUGGAUUCUCUUGGAAGAGGAAGGAUUCACUACUGGACAUUUGAGACCAAGUCCCAGGAGGAACAUCAUUCUCUCAACUAUGCUCUCCCCUGGACUAAUGAAUGUGAGGAACGAAGGCUCCACUUGGACUGGAAGGAUUAUUCUUCUGUUUGUCAAAGUCAUGUGAAAUAAGCAACGUAAUUUGUGGAGCAAUCAUGGGAAUUUAAUUAUUUCUCAGGAUACAAUUUUAAUGACUCCUCUUCAUAGAUCUUAAGCAGCUACUGGUGUCGUGUUGCAUUAGAAGCUCAAG